GUCUUAAAGUAAUAAUUUUAAGUCUAAUCUGCCCACUGAAUUAAAUUUAAAGGGCCGCAGUAUAAUUGUGCAAAGGUAGCAUAAUAAUUAGUCUUUUAAUUGAAGACUUGAAUGAAUGAUUGGACGAAAUAUAAGCUGUUUCAUAUUUAUAUAUAAAAUUUAUUUUUUUAGUGAAAAAACUAAAAUUUAUUAAAAAGACGAGAAGACCCUAUAGAUCUUAAUAAGUUUAUUUAUAUAAUAAAUUUUAUUAAUUUAUAGUAUAUAUAUAAAUUUAUUUAAUUGGGGUGAUUUUAAAAUUAAAUUAACUUUUAUUAAAAAUUACAAUAAUUAUUGAAUAAUUUAUUAUAAUCUAUUUUUAUAAAAAAAGAUAAAGAUACCUUAGGGAUAACAGCGUAAUUUUAAUUUUAAGUUCUUAUUAAAAUUAAGUAUUGCGACCUCGAUGUUGGAUUAAAAUUUAUUUUAAAUGCAGGUGUUUAAUAAUUAGGUCUGUUCGACCUUUAAAAUUUUU
Molecule: ribosomal RNA, 508 nt
Filed under: Beraeoptera roria
Lineage: Eukaryota; Metazoa; Arthropoda; Insecta; Trichoptera; Conoesucidae
Description: partial 16S ribosomal RNA
Source: RNAcentral